This 329-nucleotide unclassified non-coding RNA is filed under the name soil metagenome. RNAcentral's name for it is "partial contains 5.8S ribosomal RNA, internal transcribed spacer 2, and large subunit ribosomal RNA". The stretch from base 1 to 120 matches the Rfam family "5.8S ribosomal RNA", at positions 35 to 154 of the family's 154-position model. The record is from RNAcentral.
GAUGAAGAACGCAGCGAAAUGCGAUAAGUAGUGUGAAUUGCAGAAUUCAGUGAAUCAUCGAAUCUUUGAACGCACAUUGCGCCCCUUGGUAUCCCGAGGGGCAUGCCUGUUCGAGCGUCAUUUCACCACUCAAGCCUGGCUUGGCGUUGGGCGACGUCCCCUUUGGGGACGCGCCUCGAAACGCUCGGCGGCGUGGCACCGGCUUUAAGCGUAGCAGAAUCUUUCGCUUUGGAAGUCGGGGCCCCGUCUGCCGGAAGACCUACUCGCAAGGUUGACCUCGGAUCAGGCAGGGAUACCCGCUGAACUUAAGCAUAUCAAUAAGCGGAGGA